GAUGAACGCUGGCGGCGUGCGUAACACAUGCAAGUUGGACGACGAUGCCAUGAAGUGGUAACACGGAAUGGUAUACGGAGUAGCGGACGGGUGAGUAAAGCAUGAGGAGCUGUCCUGUUGAGGGGGAUAACGUUCGGAAACGGACCCUAAUACCCCAUAGGCCGAGAGGUUAAAGGCAGAGAUGCGCGACAGGAGGUACUCGUGUCCUAUCAGCUAGUUGGUGAGGUAACGGCUCACCAAGGCGACGACGGGUAGCCGGCCUGAGAGGGUGACCGGCCACACUGGAACUGAGACACGGUCCAGAUUCCUACGGGAGGCAGCAGUGGGGAAUAUUGGGCAAUGGGAGGAAUCCUGACCCAGCGACGCCGCGUGAACGAAGACGGCCUUCGGGUUGUAAAGUUCUUUUAUGUGGGAAGAAUUAAGUGACGGUACCACAUGAAUAAGCCCCGGCUAACUACGUGCCAGCAGCCGCGGUAAUACGUAGGGGGCGAGCGUUGUCCGGAAUUACUGGGCGUAAAGGGCACGCAGGCUGUGCUUCAAGUCAGCUGUAAAAGGAUGCGGCUUAACCGUGUUAUGCAGUUGAGACUGAGGUGCUGGAGUACCGGAGAGGCAAGUGGAAUUCCCAGUGUAGCGGUGAAAUGCGUAGAUAUUGGGAAGAACAUCGGUGGCGAAGGCGACUUGCUGGACGGUAACUGACGCUGAGGUGCGAAAGCCAGGGUAGCGAACGGGAUUAGAUACCCCGGUAGUCCUGGCCGUAAACGAUGAAUGCUAGGUGUGCGAGCAGAGAUGUUGGUGUGCCGCAGUUAACGCGAUAAGCAUUCCGCCUGGGGAGUACGGUCGCAAGAUUGAAACUCAAAGGAAUUGACGGGGGCCCGCACAAGCGGUGGAGCACGUGGUUUAAUUCGAUGCAAACCGAAGAACCUUACCUGGGUUUGACAUGUAUGUGGUAGGAGAUGGAAACAUUGACGACGCUGCUUUCGGGCAGUG
Molecule: ribosomal RNA, 987 nt
Filed under: Synergistetes bacterium oral taxon 362
Lineage: Bacteria; Thermotogati; Synergistota
Description: bacterial SSU rRNA
Rfam family: Bacterial small subunit ribosomal RNA
Source: RNAcentral